GUUGGAAGAACUACUCACCGAUUGCUCCGUAACGAAUUGCUCGCAGAGGGCGGUCAAGGGUUCCGAGUGAUGGUGGAGCGAGAAAGAAGUAGGUCUUACGGCCACUUUCGGUUUGUCCUUGGUGAAACCGUGCAAGAAGGAGGACCUGGGAUUGGCGGGAGGGGAAGUGGCCGAAAUGGAGACGUAUGGAGAUGCGGUCGUUUCCGAAGACUCGUCCGAAUCCGCCCUUCCGUCCGGCUCACCAGCCAGCUCCCGACUCUCCAACUCCAGGUUGGUCCCACUCAAAUCCAACGAGUCCGGCUUGCCACCGUUUUGCAUAUGCGAGUGGUUCGAAUGAACAUCCUCAUCAUGCUUCUCCCUGGUAGCCGCGUUGAUCUUACUAUAGGUAGAAUUGAUGAUAAGCGGAAGUUGUAUGGGGUUCUCUCGUCCCGUCGGCUCCGUCCCGUUCAUAGUCACAGCCACCUCACUCGUGAAGCUCUCUUUGAUCGUGGUCUUCGGAGAGUCGGAAGAGUUCUUCGCGUUCUUCGACACCACCGAAUCUACCGGUUUAACUUCUUCGUUUUUGUACAUAGCCAGUCUAUUCUCACUAUCUUUGAGCAAAUGUUUAUCAGUCUUUUCAACGUGUGCGGAGUCGUCCGUGAUGUCCACGGCGGACAGGUGGAGGAACUUCUUGGUCCGGAUCGGCUCGUGGACCUUGGUCAAGAUGGUGCCUCUGGUGAUCUGCGUCUUCCGGUUGGUCACCUCGAUGUUACUCGAAUAGACCUUGUCCUCGCUACCUUUCUGACUCAGAGCUUGGUUUAGAAUCAGGUUGGUGAGGUUGUUCUCCGCCACCCGAUUCGUGACCGUCGUGUUGUUCUGCGUCACAGCGGCGUCGCUCGUGUCGAGUAAUUUGAACAAAUGCGUCUUCCUGGACGAAGCUAUUGAGUUGGUGUAGGGUACAGAGUUGUUGACGACCGGUUUAUUCUUGUCCUCGUUCUCGAAAGCCGAUUUGAUUAGGGUGGCUUUCUUCUUGGGUGGAGCUUGGGAGGUGGCGAAAGGCUCCACGGAGACGAGGAGGGUUUGUUUCUUGCCCUCGCCGUCCGUUAGAGGUUUGCCGAGUUCCAGGGGUUGGAUCUUCUUGGUUUUUUUGUCGUUCUUGUCGUCCAGGUUGGCCGUGACCGAGUUGAAGUCGGUGUUGAUUCUCGUGAGCUUCUGGAGUUCUUUCUCGUCUUCGCCGUCCGGGAAAAUGAUGUCGCAGUCGUCGUUGGAGGGCUCGAAGAAACCGUCCUCCUCGUCCGACGAGUACUCGUCGCCGCCAUAGCCGAUCACUUCGAACUCCUCCGGCAGGAAACUCACUGUAUGCUUCUUACCCGUGUGUGCUUUCCCUUUGAGGAUACUCUGAAACAGACAAAAAUGAUCACUUAUUAUUGAUUUGAAAAAUGCUUCUUAGCGUGGCUUCAGAAAUAAAUCCCUUACCCAAGUAGUAUAUUUCAAAGGAAAAAUCACGAUAUUUUGAAAUUAAGUUGCUAUUGAUUUCCAAUUUUCUCGUGAUAAAAUUGCUAGGAUCAUCAACAUCUGAACAAUUAUCCUGAAUUUUGUCGCAAUUUUAUCUCUGUAUAAUCGCGUUCGAUAAAGUCGGAAUUUUACCUCAAUUUAUCACUCAAAUUACCCGAGGCUAUAACUGUGCCAUUUAUGAUAACGAAGAAAGAUUUGGAGUUUUCAUCAGACACCACACCAAGCCAAAAA
RNAcentral lists this long non-coding RNA (1725 nucleotides) under Bemisia tabaci. RNAcentral's name for it is "lncRNA ENSSWEETPG010166". Lineage: Eukaryota; Metazoa; Arthropoda; Insecta; Hemiptera; Aleyrodidae. The record is from RNAcentral.